AACGAUCCUUGGCCCUGCAGGCAUGACCAAAUGACAGAGAAGCUUGCUUCUGCCUAGAGAGGCUUAAAAGUUCACUCACGGGAAUUAAUCCAGAGAACAGGAUCAAGGCUGAAGCAGUUUUCUUUCUUCUGUUUGUUCAGCUGGUGUUUGGGCCCCCUUAGGUUGCUCACAAGGCAACCUUAAUAUGUCACGGCACGUCACAGAUGCAGCAUGUAGGUGUUGUUCCCUCAAAACUAGG
Molecule: long non-coding RNA, 238 nt
Filed under: Struthio camelus australis
Lineage: Eukaryota; Metazoa; Chordata; Aves; Struthioniformes; Struthionidae
Description: lncRNA (ENSSCUG00000012829.1)
Source: RNAcentral